AGCUCUCAAGUGUGUUUGCGUGAAGCACAAUAAACACGGCGAAGCUGAGGGGGCCGCCGCAAACAGGCCUUUACUAGGGCAGAACGACUCUCGCCAGGCAGCCCCGCACCCCGGCCGCGGCAAAGGGCCCCGGAGGACCCCAGCAGGACCCCCGGAGGACCCCGACCUCCGCAGCGCGGCCCGAGCCCUCUCCCCUGCGCCCACACCGCACGCGAACAGUAGGGGGCGCCUCUGGAGCACGGCCUGGGGCAAGCACAGGCCUCGAGACCUUGGACAAGUCCCUUCACCUCUGCAUUCUCGGCCUCCUUGUGCACCUGGAGCCGUGUUACCCCCUCACGGCGCUGCUGGGAGGAGAACGGGAAGGGGCUGGUCAGGGCGUCAGUGAGCAGCCCACAGCCGGGUCGGGGCACGGCCCUCGCCUCACUCCCCGCAACGGGAGCUCAGCUGCGCUGGGAGUGAGGCGGCCGCCUUCUCUCCGGGAGUUGAUUCAAAAGUUGACAGUGGUCAUUUCUGCGAGGGGAGGAAGGGACGAGAGGCGCCGUGUGGCCGCGUGUCGAGGACAUCGAGUCCACCGUUCCAGAGGGAGACCGAGGUCACACAGGGCCGGGGGGAGAAACCUGUCUCACUGCUCUGCUCUCAGAAAAGGCAUCCUGUUCUUGGUUUGACCAAAAUGGCCAGAGAACCAAAAGUAACCCCUGCAAAGCUAUCCCACAAUGAUGCUACGAAUGAAAAAUUACAGAAGCCACUUAGAGGCUCACCAAAUCCAGACCCACAACCAGCUCUCACAUCAGUCAGAGCAGAUCACACCCUGACCCAUGGAAAGUGCUCCUGAUGCUCUUAGAACAAGCCCAAAGCUUGACCACUGCCCAGGGCCUGGCCCCAUCCACCGCAGCUCACCUGUCCUCCCUGAGCUCCCACCAGGCCAGUGUCUGCCACUGCAGGAUCGUGGCAUGUGCUGUUUGCUCGCCGGGACACCCUUUCCCUGGCUCUUUGCCCGGAACCUUCUCAUUCUUCAGGGAUCUGAGCUGACUUCCCUGACCACACUCUCUGACAUGGCCUCACCUCUGGAACCUUCUACUACGUCCCAGGUUUAUGCCCUUCAUGGACUUACCACAGUCUGGAAUGAUCUGGUUUGUUUCUCUUCUUGUUUACUGUCUGUCUCCCUGCUCUGGGAUGGAAGUUCCAGGAGAACAGGCCCAUCUCCUGCUCUCAUGGAUCCCUAGUAUCAGGCCCACAGUAGACACCACCUGGCACAUACUUACUGAAUGAAUGAAUGAGAAUGAAUGACUCCUCAGCCCCUAAGCUCAUCCUCCUUUGGGUCGGGGCACCCCUCAUGCUCCCACAGUGCCCCUAGCUGACCCCAUUGUAUCCUGUGGCAUCCAGCUGUCAGCUGUCCACGAGCCGUGAGUCCCGACUGGAGCUGGGAGCACUUGAACACCGUGUAUGGGGCCUGAGGAGAAAACCUUGUCCCUGGGGGGAACCAACUUGCUUGGUAGGGCCCUGAACAGCUCAGAAAGAGCAUUCCAGGCAGAGAGAACAGCAAGGGGGAAGGCUGCGGUCGGAAGGAGAGUGGCAGGGUCUGAGGGCAGAGGGUGGUAAACAGGGAUGGGACGAGGUCUAAGUCACAGGUCGAAGAUGGAGAGAUUGUUUCUGGGGUGAGGGAGUGGGAAACAGUGGUAAGAGGGAGACAUUUUUUUUUUCCAUAGUAUCAUCUACAUUGCUAGAUGUUUUUAAUCAGGUACCUUAAAAUUUAAAAAAAAUCACUCUGGUUGCCAAGUGGACCUUGGAUUGUAAGAGGCGAGAGGAGAUUUUGGUUGGCACUUGUGACAGAGACUUCAGGCUGCCAACCCAAUAUCCAUUCUUCUCUCUCCCUCUUUCCUCUCAGACAGAAACCUGGUGUGUUUAUCUGUUUUUCCCAGGUGAUCAUUUAUACAGCAUGUAUUCAGCUAAAAGAUGACAUUUCCCAACUAGGGGAGGCCAUUGAGUAGAAUUUACUGAAUGGGACUUACGGGGAAACUCUCUGAGAGGAACAGAUAGCUAACAAGAACCACUUUUACCCCUUCCUUAACCUCCAUCUCCUACUUCCUUUCUGGAAUGUGGACAUGAUGGCUGGAGCCCCAGCAACCAACACGGAUCCUUUCAUGAUCUGGAGACUGGAAACCGCACAUGAAGGAUGGCAGAGCUGAAAGGCAGAAGAAGUGUGAAUCUCUGGUGAUGUUGUGGAGCUUCUAGACCAGCCCUGGACACAAUAAAAGUUUAUUUCCCACUUAGGUUACAUGUCAGGGAGAUGAAGGGGGGUGUUCUUUUCAUCCAUGUGGACCGAGGCUGAUGGAGCAACUGCUAUCUUGAACAUCACUUGAUUAGCCAGAGUUCUGGAGGCUAUUGCACCAGCAAAUAAAAAUUCAGCCUGGAAGUCACUCAAGUCACUUCUCAUUGGCCAGAACUAGUCAUAUGGCCCCAUCCAAUCAAUUGUGAAAAGGUUAAGUGCCCAGAAAGCAGGAAGCCGGAAAUAGAGUAUUCAUCAAUAAGAAAUGAAAUAGAGUUUAAGGUUUCUUUUCCUUUUUUAAAAAAUAAAAUUGAUUGUGGUAACAUA
This is a long non-coding RNA of Choloepus didactylus (southern two-toed sloth), 2593 nucleotides long. RefSeq lists it as uncharacterized. The record is from RefSeq and is a predicted model, not a curated record. NCBI's taxonomy places the organism in Eukaryota, Metazoa, Chordata, Mammalia, Pilosa, Megalonychidae. The transcript is spliced from 2 exons.